UGCAGUCGAGCGCAGGAAUCGACGGAACCCUUCGGGGGGAAGUCGACGGAAUGAGCGGCGGACGGGUGAGUAACACGUAAAGAACCUGCCCUCAGGUCUGGGAUAACCACGAGAAAUCGGGGCUAAUACCGGAUGGGUCAUCGGACCGCAUGGUCCGAGGAUGAAAGGCGCUUCGGCGUCCCCUGGGGAUGGCUUUGCGGUGCAUUAGCUAGUUGGUGGGGUAAUGGCCCACCAAGGCGACGAUGCAUAGCCGACCUGAGAGGGUGAUCGGCCACACUGGGACUGAGACACGGCCCAGACUCCUACGGGAGGCAGCAGUAGGGAAUCUUCCACAAUGGACGAAAGUCUGAUGGAGCAACGCCGCGUGAACGAUGAAGGCCUUCGGGUCGUAAAGUUCUGUUGUAAGGGAAGAACAAGUGCCGCAGGCAAUGGCGGCACCUUGACGGUACCUUGCGAGAAAGCCACGGCUAACUACGUGCCAGCAGCC
RNAcentral lists this ribosomal RNA (487 nucleotides) under uncultured bacterium. Its description in RNAcentral is "bacterial SSU rRNA". It matches the Rfam family "Bacterial small subunit ribosomal RNA", at positions 56 to 516 of the family's 1533-position model. The record is from RNAcentral.